CAUCCAUGGAUUACUGUCAUUAGGGUAUGCUCUGAAUAGUACACUGUAGGAGCCUUGUCUCCUGGUUUUGUCAGCCAGGAGGAGCUCACAGUAGGCACUUUGUCAUUCUUCUUUUAUAGUUCCUUAUUUGUCCAUAACUUUAUGUCUGUCUUUCUUUCAGGGAGUUCUCUGGCUCCAAGAACAUACUCAACUUGGAUGUGGGGGUGGGCCUUCAGUCUUUUUACUAGAACUUUGUGUCAGGGAUGAGGUGACUGUCAACCAACCGGCUGAAGCUUUGUAGAAACUAAAUGAAGAACGAGACUGAUGCUUUGCCAUGUUCCAGCCCAGCGCCACAGAGCAGUGCCCCCUUGUGGACCACCACCUGUCCAGAGCCAUGAUAUAAAUAAGGAGGCCUUUAAUACAGCCCGGUCCCUGUUGCUCAUUGGCCAUACUAUUAAAG
Molecule: non-coding RNA, 439 nt
Organism: Rattus norvegicus (Norway rat)
Lineage: Eukaryota; Metazoa; Chordata; Mammalia; Rodentia; Muridae
Source: RefSeq, a predicted model, not a curated record